Molecule: ribosomal RNA, 229 nt
Filed under: uncultured bacterium
Lineage: Bacteria
Description: partial 16S ribosomal RNA
Rfam family: Bacterial small subunit ribosomal RNA
Source: RNAcentral
CGAGUGGCGGACGGGUGAGUAACGCGUAGGGAUCUAUCCUUGGGUGGGGGACAACCGUGGGAAACUACGGCUAAUACCGCAUGAUAACUGAGGUUCAAAGCUCGCGAGAGCGCCUGGGGAGGAGCCUGCGUACGAUUAGCUAGUUGGUGGGGUAAAGGCCUACCAAGGCGACGAUCGUUAGCUGGUCUGAGAGGAUGAUCAGCCACAUUGGGACUGAGACACGGCCCAA